AUAGCUCGCUACAGUUCGCUCCAUGUGGAACACAGUCUGGAUCCAGGUGCUACAGGAGUGUGUAAACACUGGGCCUGCUGGACUCAGCGGCUGAAGCCACCUGCUUCCCAGAACACGUGGCCCCAGUUCCUGUUCAGCUGGGGCUCUUUCUGUAAGGCUUUGCAAGCCCCGCUGCUCCUUCUGUGCUCAGGAAGAAGGAAGCCAAGAUAGAAAGAGACCCUCCACAGAAGCACCAAUAUACCCAAAGGAGCCUGGAGGGAGGGGUCAAGAGUCUGUGGUCUGACUACCCAAGGGCUGCUCUGAGCUCCCCUCCUCCCAAGCAUCCCUGAAGAGAAACCACUCUCUGUCCAGAGAAGAGGGAAAGCAAACCAUCUGUCCUACAGGCCACCUCAGCUCAUGCUGGUUCUGUCAGCUGUGGUUAUAUGUGCCCGGUUGUGACACAGCCCAGGCCUAUCUAUCCUGUACAUACACCCUGAUUUCCUGGUCCUCAGGCUGGAACUGGUGCUGGGAAGGCCCCCGAAGGGAACUGCCCAGACUGAGUCCAGAACUUUUCUAAGACAAGGACACCAUUGAAUUCAUCUUUGUAACCUGAACACCGAGCUCCACUCUCUGGCAUAUAGUAGAUUGUCUUUAAAGUGACUUAAAUGAAUGAAUAAAGCUGUGUGGUUUUGUCCUCUCAGAUCCUGGAAACUUCCCUGUCUCAUUCAAGUCUUAGCAGAGGGGUCACUUGCCUCAGCCUCACAGCCUCUCUGCUGCCCUAUUCCUGGAUAAACAUGGGCCAACAAACUGCAGUGAGAUCAUCCUUGAGGCACACUGGGACUUCCUCAUGAAUGACAGAAACCAGGUAAGCUGAGGAAGGCAGGAUGUGGUCCCCAGUUCAAUUCUCCAUGUUUUAAGGGAGAUAGCAAGGCCAGGCUUGGAAUCUAGUGCUGAAGAAUCCAAGAUGGUUGAGGUGAACGGCUGCAGGUGGUUCUAGACAAUGUGGGAACCCUGAAGUUAGAUGGGAUCUGAGCUGGUUUCCCCUUUUUUCUGAAAGGAGGACUCUGAAGAGGACAUAGUGUGUAGCCUAUGAUGACAAGAGCACGCCAAGGUAAGGAGGAGCAUGGAAGAGCGUGGGGUGUAUCUGGAGACUAACCAGCCACGUGGUGGGUGGGUGGAUGUGGAUCUUGAGCAGCAGGACAAGCCUGGGGAGGAGGCUGGAGCUAGCUUGCAAAGGCAUUAAGGGCUGGGGGCCCUAGAACAGCCUGAUUGGGCAAUGGAGUGAAAGGGUCAAGGUGAUGUCCAUCCUGAGGUCAGAGCACUCUUACAGCUUGGCGGGUGAUCCCUUUAAUGGGGGUGAGGGAAUCAGAUUUGCAUAGAGACUGCCUUAGUCCAGUUGAACUGCUGUUACUGGUAGAAUGGAUUGCUUACAAAUAACAGAAAUUUAUCUUUCACAGUUUUAAAGGUUGGAAGUUCAUGAUUAAGGUGCCAGCAUGGUUGGGUUCUGGGGAAGGCCCUCUUUUGGGUGGCAGACUGGUUUUCUCACUGCUACUCACGUGGUAGGAGGGGACUAGGGAGCUCUCUGGGGCCUCUUUUGUAAGGGCACGAGUCCCAUUCAUGGUAGUUCCAUCUUCAUGACCCAACCACCUCCCAAAGGCCCCACCUCCUAAUCCCAUCACAUUGGACAUUAAGACUUCAACAUAUGAUUUUUGAGGGACAUAUGUGUUCAGACCGGAAUAGAGACCACUAAGGAGACUACAGCAGUGGUCUAGGUGAGAAGCAAUAAAAGCCUGAAUGAGGCAAAUAUCUUUAGGGAAGGAGAGAAGUGAUCCUAUUCAAGAGCCAGGGGGCAGCUAGAAUGGACAACAUUCAAGGCCUGAUCAGGUAAGAGAGACAGGGAAGGUGGGAUGACUCCAGGCUCCCUGCUGGUGGCCACAGUAGAUAAUGAUGCCCUACACAGAGGUGGGGAAUUUGAGGAGAGUGCAAACUGAGGGUAAGAUUGCCAUUCCAUUUUAGACAGUUGGGUUUGAGGGAUCCACUAGGAGAGUUGCUCAGGGUCAGGCCUGGAAUUUCACACAACCACUGACGGGAUGGGUGAAUCUGAGAUUCUGGAACCCUUACAGUCUGUAAGGCUCUCUGGGGUUGGAUGCAUGGGGAGGCGGUACAGAAACCAGCAAGACACAUAGGGCCAUAUAAGGAAGGAGGGAAACAAACAAAGCACUAUCCUUUUGAGCCCCAACUUCACCCAGAACCAAGGAUUGCCACUGUUAGUUUCUUUAGUCUUCAAACUGAACACAUAAACAUCAAGGUUGGGGUCACGGUUCUUGGUUAAAGCAAGCCAUCACCUGUCUCAUGAUCCAAGAUUUUGCUAAGAUAUAUUAGCGUUUGAUUUUCUAAAUCCUAUUUCUGUAAAGUGCACCAAAUUUCCAUCUGGGUCUGGAGGCAGAAAGUUUCCAACUUAAAAUGAAAAGUUGGUCCUCAAGGCAGCCUUUCUCUCAGCUGAGACUUGGCACACUGUGUUGUCAAAGCCUCCUUGUACAAGAUCGGUCGAAUUUCCUCCUUUUACCAAUUUACAUAUUUUUCCUUCCGCCAUGGGAAGGAGCGCUUCAGGAGUUUCUAAUUUCCUUCUACACAGUAACAAAAGGCCACAGGGCCCCCAGUCACCGAGGCUCCCCGGUGCCGAGGAGAAAAUGUUUACGGUACAAUUUAGCCUGCAGCAAAUCCGCCAUCAGCAUUUUUACAAACCUCAGGGAAAGAAGAAGAAACAAAAGCUGUUGAAAUGUGAAAAUAAUUAGAGAAGAGACUUUCCCAGGGAACAAACAUGGCCCUCACUGUACAGAGGGAAGAACAAACAAACUUUGGGGAGGUUAUGGAGUUGUAAAAUCCUUGUUUACUUCUGAAGAAAGAAAUAAAGUUGG
This is a long non-coding RNA of Lutra lutra (Eurasian river otter), 2897 nucleotides long. RefSeq lists it as uncharacterized. Lineage: Eukaryota; Metazoa; Chordata; Mammalia; Carnivora; Mustelidae. The transcript has 3 exons. The record is from RefSeq and is a predicted model, not a curated record.